Molecule: long non-coding RNA, 238 nt
Filed under: Gallus gallus (chicken)
Lineage: Eukaryota; Metazoa; Chordata; Aves; Galliformes; Phasianidae
Source: RNAcentral
CAAAAACCAUCUGAGAGAAGCACUGAGAACACUUCAGGAGCACAAACAACCCCAUGACACCCUGGCACGCAGAUGCUCUGUGGCUUACCCACCCCGUGUGCUGCAGCACCAAGGAAGCUCACAUGAUACAUGCAGCCGUUCCUCCAGUCCUGCUCAUCCCUGCAGACUGUUCUCCUUUGACAGCAAAUGUGGCAAAUGAUGGAAGAUGGUGGGAAGGUGCAGCACAUUCUUGUUGGUG